Molecule: ribosomal RNA, 406 nt
Filed under: uncultured bacterium
Lineage: Bacteria
Description: partial 16S ribosomal RNA
Rfam family: Bacterial small subunit ribosomal RNA
Source: RNAcentral
AUUGAACGAUGGCGGCAGGCCUAACACAUGCAAGUCGAGCGAGCGGCGGACGGGUGAGUAAUGUCUGGGGAUAUGCCUGAUGGAGGGGGAUAACUACUGGAAACGGUAGCUAAUACCGCAUACAAUCAGAUGAACCCAUAUGGGAUUAGCUAGUAGGUGGGGUAACGGCUCACCUAGGCGACGAUCCCUAGCUGGUCGGAGAGGAUGAUCAGCCACACUGGAACUGAGACACGGCCCAGACCCCUACGGGAGGCAUCAGUGGGGAAUAUUGCACAAUGGGCGCAAUCCGGAUGCAGCCAUGUCGCGUGUGUGAAGAAGGGCUUCGGAUUGUAAAGCACUUUAAGUUGGGAGGCGUUACCAUCAGAAUAAGCACCGUCUAACUUCGUGCCAGCAGCCGCGGUAAUUC